Molecule: ribosomal RNA, 549 nt
Filed under: uncultured bacterium
Lineage: Bacteria
Description: bacterial SSU rRNA
Rfam family: Bacterial small subunit ribosomal RNA
Source: RNAcentral
AGGGAAUCUUCCGCAAUGGGCGAAAGCCUGACGGAGCAACGCCGCGUGAGUGAUGAAGGUCUUCGGAUCGUAAAACUCUGUUAUUAGGGAAGAACAAAUGUGUAAGUAACUAUGCACGUCUUGACGGUACCUAAUCAGAAAGCCACGGCUAACUACGUGCCAGCAGCCGCGGUAAUACGUAGGUGGCAAGCGUUAUCCGGAAUUAUUGGGCGUAAAGCGCGCGUAGGCGGUUUUUUAAGUCUGAUGUGAAAGCCCACGGCUCAACCGUGGAGGGUCAUUGGAAACUGGAAAACUUGAGUGCAGAAGAGGAAAGUGGAAUUCCAUGUGUAGCGGUGAAAUGCGCAGAGAUAUGGAGGAACACCAGUGGCGAAGGCGACUUUCUGGUCUGUAACUGACGCUGGUGUGCGAAAGCGUGGGGAUCAAACAGGAUUAGAUACCCUGGUAGUCCACGCCGUAAACGAUGAGUGCUAAGUGUUAGGGGGUUUCCGCCCCUUAGUGCUGCAGCUAACGCAUUAAGCACUCCGCCUGGGGAGUACGACCGCAAGGUUG